AAGAAUAGAAGUAGAAAAACAUCGGGAACUACGCACCCUUUGGGUAUCUGAAAAGCGGGGAAUUCCCGUCCCGCCUAUUCCA
RNAcentral lists this non-coding RNA (82 nucleotides) under unclassified sequences. RNAcentral's name for it is "skipping-rope RNA". It matches the Rfam family "skipping-rope RNA". Rfam says of the family: Firmicutes, Fusobacteria, AlphaProteobacteria, Spirochaetes. Downstream gene The record is from Rfam by way of RNAcentral.